Molecule: ribosomal RNA, 1435 nt
Filed under: uncultured marine bacterium
Lineage: Bacteria
Description: bacterial SSU rRNA
Rfam family: Bacterial small subunit ribosomal RNA
Source: RNAcentral
GAGUUUGAUCCUGGCUCAGAACGUACGCUGGCGGCACGCCUAACACAUGCAAGUCGAACGAAGUAGCAAUACUUAGUGGCAGACGGGUGAGUAACAUGUAGGUAUCUGCCCUUUGGCCUGGAAUAACACGAGGAAACUUGUGCUAAUACCGGAUAAGUCUUUACGGAGAAAGCUUUAUGCACCAUUGGAUGAGCCUGCACUUGAUUAGUUUGUUGGUGGGGUAAUGGCCUACCAAGACUGUGAUCAAUAGCUGAUUUGAGAGGAUGAUCAGCCACAUUGGGACUGAGACACGGCCCAAACUCCUACGGGAGGCAGCAGUGGGGAAUCUUGCACAAUGGAGGAAACUCUGAUGCAGCGAUGCCGCGUGAGUGAAGAAGGCCCUUGGGUUGUAAAGCUCUUUCGUCGGGGAAGAAAAUGACUGUACCCGAAUAAGAAGGUCCGGCUAACUUCGUGCCAGCAGCCGCGGUAAUACGAAGGGACCUAGCGUAGUUCGGAAUUACUGGGCUUAAAGAGUUCGUAGGUGGUUGAAAAAGUUAGUGGUGAAAUCCCAGAGCUUAACUCUGGAACUGCCAUUAAAACUUUUCAGCUAGAGUAUGAUAGAGGAAAGCAGAAUUUCUAGUGUAGAGGUGAAAUUCGUAGAUAUUAGAAAGAAUACCAAUUGCGAAGGCAGCUUUCUGGAUCAUUACUGACACUGAGGAACGAAAGCAUGGGUAGCGAAGAGGAUUAGAUACCCUCGUAGUCCAUGCCGUAAACGAUGUGUGUUAGACGUUGGAAAUUUAUUUUCAGUGUCGCAGGGAAACCGAUAAACACACCGCCUGGGGAGUACGACCGCAAGGUUAAAACUCAAAUGAAUUGACGGGGACCCGCACAAGUAGUGGAGCAUGUGGUUUAAUUCGAAGAUACGCGCAGAACCUUACCAACACUUGACAUGUUCGUCGCGACUCUAAGAGAUUAGAGUUUUCGGUUCGGCCGGACGAAACACAGGUGCUGCAUGGCUGUCGUCAGCUCGUGUCGUGAGAUGUUGGGUUAAGUCCCGCAACGAGCGCAACCCUCACUCUUAGUUGCCAUCAUUAAGUUGGGCACUCUGAAAGAACUGCCAGUGAUAAGCUGGAGGAAGGUGGGGAUGACGUCAAGUCCUCAUGGCCCUUACGUGUUGGGCUACACACGUGCUACAAUGGUAUCUACAACAGGAAGCAAGACUGCGAAGUUAAGCAAAUCCCUAAAAGAUACCUCAGUUCGGAUUGCACUCUGCAACUCGAGUGCAUGAAGCUGGAAUUACUAGUAAUCGUGGAUCAGCGUGCCACGGUGAAUGCGUUCCCGGGUCUUGUACACACCGCCCGUCACACCAUGGGAGUUGGUUCUACCUUAAGGCAAGGUUUCAAACCCUUGACCACGGUAUAGUCAGCGACUGGGGUGAAGUCGUAACAAGGUAACC